RNAcentral lists this long non-coding RNA (2269 nucleotides) under Olea europaea subsp. europaea. The record is from RNAcentral. Lineage: Eukaryota; Viridiplantae; Streptophyta; Magnoliopsida; Lamiales; Oleaceae.
UAGUUUGUGAACUUUUUAAACUAAUGUUUUGUUUGACUAGGCUCUGUAAAUGAAAGCCCUACAUUUUUGUGGAUCUCUUAACUAUUUUCAAGAAACCAUUUCCAAAUUUUCCUUGGAGACCUAUGUCAUCUAAAUUUCCAACUGAAAUUAAGUUUCUAUUCAAAUCUGGUACACACCUUACCCUUUUCAAGAUAAAGGUGUACCCAUUGUCAAAUUUUAAAGUUACACUGCCUAUCCCCAGCACUCUGUAGGCUGCAUUAUUGCCCACGACUACCUCACCUCCAUCAAUGUCUUUAAAGUCUACUAACCAAUGUCUUCUAGAGGUCAUAUGAAAAAUGCAACCUGAAUCUAAAAUCCAUUCUACACUCUGACACGAAUUGUCUACAUAAUUUGUAGUAUUCAAAUCAGAUAUGGACUCGGUCACAACAUAGACAUCUACAGUCUCAUCACCUAGAGUCUCAAUUACAUUACCAUAAUCUAUUUCAACCUCUUUCUGUUCAUUUUUCAUUUUAAAACAAUCUUUAAUUUGGUGUCCAGCCCUACCACACCCAUAGCACUUCCAAUUCCAAUAUUUCCCUGAUUGUUUUUGUUAUCCUGGUUAUUACUUUGUCUGGUUAGUGACCUACCUCUUACAAAUAGGUUCUCACUUUCCUUGCCAUAUUUCUCAGUUUUAACUUUCAGUUCUUUAUUUCUUAAAGCAUUAAUAAUUAUCUCUGGGGUUAAAGACUCUCUACCAUACUUAAUGGCAGUUUUAACAUCUUUAUAAACUUCAGGUAUGGAAUUAAGAAGGAUCACAGCCUUAUACUCCUCAGAUACUUUAUCCACAACAUUAGUAAUUUUUUGUACUAGCUUAUUAAAAGUGUUAAGAUUAUCAUCUAAGUCUCGAGACAAGUUAUUUUUGAAACUAAAAAAUCUUUCUAGAAGAAAAAUUUUAUUAGGCAAUGACUUAACCAAAUAAAGUUCUUCCAAUUUCUCCCAUAAGGCUUUAGCAUUAUCUAACUUUCUUUCCUUUCUUAAUACCUGAUCAGAUAAGUGAAGAAUAAUGGAAGUAUAGGCAAGUUUAUCAUAUUCAGUUUUUUGUUCAUCAGGCAUAGCAGUAGGAUAUUCACCGGUUAUAGCCUUAGAUACCUUCUGUUGAACAAGACCCCCUCAUUUUUUGCUGCCAAAUGGGGAAAUUCCAUUUUCCAUUAAAGACUCGAAGUUCAAACUUGUCGUUGUCAUUUGAAAUUUUUAAUCAAUACUAGAAAAUAUUUGAGGGUUAAAGUUCAGCCAGAAGAAAAAAGCAGAUAUUUUACAGAAUAUGUAGAACAACACGAAAGUAUCACACACAAUAUGAAAUAUCAGGGAUAUAUAACAAUGUGAAAACAAUAACAAAAAAUAGUAACCAAUUCAAAGAAUAAAGGAUCACUUCAAGAUAUUAUGAUGUGUCUUGAAUUCACCAGGAUUUCGUGAGGCUCAAGGACCUCAGGUCAAUGAUCAAUCCAAGUAUACAGUGGUGCAGGAGAAGUUUUACUCAAUUGAAGACAAAUGAUCAAUAAUCGGUCACAAAGACUAAAAAAUAUGCAGUACACUUCAACAAAAGAAAAGAUAUAUCACAUGUAAAAAUAGAAGAGGGUUAGAGAUUUCGACUGGCAGAUUUGAGUAUUACUCAAAUACCCAAGAAUUUACAAAAUGGUUUCACCAAGAAAAAAAAAUCAAAAUCCAACUUAUUCCUGCAAGAUUCACCAACAACAAAUGUCAGAAAACCAAUAUGUGUUAAAGAAUAAUAAACUGAAACCAAGAUCCGUCACCAAUCGAAUCUAAAGUUUCCACCGCUUGUCAGAUCUCACAAUAUUUGGUCGUGAAAAUUGAUUUUCCACAACCGGAACUCGAAGAUGGGGACUCAAACAGCCUAUAAGGCUCCGAUACCACUGUUACAAAUUAAGACCCAAUGAUCGACUCCAAAGUUACAGAACACAGAUGACACAAUAGCAUAAACUUCUCAUCAAUUUGGGCUCAAAACAAAGCAUUGUACUUGCUUGUACAAUGUGAGGGUUCACAAACCGUGGCCCAAAACAUGAAAGACAGAGGCAGCUACUCAAUGGACCAAGAUCUCUCAAAGAUACCAACAAUACCCUUUUAAAACUAAGAAUGAAAAUCACAUAGACUCUAUACACAUAGAUUCACAAAAAAAAUUAGAGAUUUUUAGCUAAACAACAAGAAUCACGAAGAAGAAGAAGAAAGGGCAGAGACACAGUGUCAAAAAAGAGAGACCCAAAAGCUUCCUAAG